This 256-nucleotide long non-coding RNA is filed under the name Capsicum annuum. RNAcentral's name for it is "long non-coding RNA (CANN_LNC018453)". Lineage: Eukaryota; Viridiplantae; Streptophyta; Magnoliopsida; Solanales; Solanaceae. The record is from RNAcentral.
UUCCAAUCAUUAACAUUUGUUAUUGCCUUGUUGCACCAUUGAUCCAAACUCAGAAUAUUAAGAGUGACUCUAAAACAAACACAAUAUCUCUAUUUUGCCAUGUUUCUCGGAUAAACACCUUUGAACCUUGGUAUUUCCUUGAGUUCACAGACUUGUCUGUUGCCAAAACUUUUUGCAUGCCUUAUUUGGGCUCACAAUAAUGUCUCUUUCAUGUGCUGGCUAUCGUCUUGCUCUGUGCUAUUGAAGAAACUGGUCG